RNAcentral lists this transfer RNA (60 nucleotides) under Megacrania alpheus adan. Its description in RNAcentral is "tRNA-Arg". Lineage: Eukaryota; Metazoa; Arthropoda; Insecta; Phasmatodea; Phasmatidae. The record is from RNAcentral.
AAAUAAGAAGCAUUAAUAUGUAUCUAGUUUCGGCCUAGAAGAUGGUAUAUACCCUUAUUU